AGAACGAACGCUGGCGGCAGGCCUCAAACAUGCAAGUCUAGGGGGUGUAGCAAUACAUCACCGGCGGACGGGUGCGUAACACGUGGGAAUAUACCUUUUGGUUCGGAACAACGCAGGGAAACUUGCGCUAAUACCGAAUGUGCCCUUACGGGGAAAGAUUUAUCGCCAAAGGAUUAGCCCGCGUAGGAUUAGCUAGUUGGUGAGGUAAUAGCUCACCAAGGCUCCGAUCCUUAGCUGUUCUGAGAGGAAGAUCAGCCACACUGGGACUGAGACACGGCCCAGACUCCUACGGGAGGCAGCAGUUGGGAAUCUUGGACAAUGGGGGAAACCCUGAUCCAGCCAUGCCGCGUGAGUGAUGAAGGCCUUCGGGUUGUAAAACUCUUUCGACGGGGACGAUAAUGACGGUACCCGUAGAAGAGCUCCGGCUAACUUCGCGCCAGCACGCCGC
Molecule: ribosomal RNA, 448 nt
Filed under: uncultured bacterium
Lineage: Bacteria
Description: SSU rRNA
Rfam family: Bacterial small subunit ribosomal RNA
Source: RNAcentral